GACUGAACACAUGUGACACAUUCUGGACUUGUGUUUGCAUUUAAACAGGAAUUAGAUUUGUGCUUUCAAUUGUGGUCUUUUUCCAACUUUCCCCCACCCUUUGUCUUUCUUUUUAUUUUAGUCUCCCAUCCCCUCCCGAUAUUUUUUUUCUCCAACUGUCUCAUACUUGGUAGAUGACAUGAUCACUUGCAACCUCCCUCCAUCAAAUAUUCACCCUCUAUCUCAACCACAAUUCAGUUGAACAAAUACAUUCUGCAAUAGAAAGGAACAAAACUAAGAGUUAUUGAGCUCCCACAAGGCACUAGGUGUGAUGCAAAAGUCCAAAAUACAGACAGACAAGCUCUCUGCACCCAGAGAGCUCCCCUGCAGCCUGGGAGCCUGAGCUGGUGUUACAUCUGUCUCACACACAGGCCUCCCAAGCAGUGAAGGUGUAUUAACUAAGUAUGAAAGGUCCAGAGAGCCUUAAAGAACAUGAGAGCCGAAGUCUGGCCCAUGAAGAAAUUCUCCCAUAGCAGGCCACUGAAAGAUGAUUACCGUCCCUUGUGGAAAGAAUUGCAGUCCCAGCUGAUUGAUGUGCAUCAAUGACAUGUUGAUGUCAAAGAAGACGAUGUAAGCCGAGUGUCAUGGAUGCCCAUAAUCCUGGUUGUUCAGGAGACUGAGGCAGGAGGAUCCCUUGAGCCAAGAAGUUCAAGACUAGUCUGG
This 702-nucleotide long non-coding RNA is filed under the name Callithrix jacchus (white-tufted-ear marmoset). Its description in RNAcentral is "lncRNA (ENSCJAG00000080371.1)". Lineage: Eukaryota; Metazoa; Chordata; Mammalia; Primates; Cebidae. The record is from RNAcentral.